CCUACGGGAGGCAGCAGUGGGGAAUAUUGGACAAUGGAGGCAACUCUGAUCCAGCCAUGCCGCGUGCAGGAAGACUGCCCUAUGGGUUGUAAACUGCUUUUAUACAGGAAGAAACGGUUCUACGUGUAGAGCUUUGACGGUACUGUAAGAAUAAGGAUCGGCUAACUCCGUGCCAGCAGCCGCGGUAAU
Molecule: ribosomal RNA, 189 nt
Filed under: uncultured bacterium
Lineage: Bacteria
Description: partial 16S ribosomal RNA
Rfam family: Bacterial small subunit ribosomal RNA
Source: RNAcentral